RNAcentral lists this ribosomal RNA (374 nucleotides) under uncultured organism. RNAcentral describes it as "partial 16S ribosomal RNA". It matches the Rfam family "Bacterial small subunit ribosomal RNA", at positions 527 to 896 of the family's 1533-position model. The record is from RNAcentral.
GUAGGUGGCAAGCGUUGUCCGGAAUUAUUGGGCGUAAAGCGCGCGCAGGCGGGUCCUUUAAGUCUGAUGUGAAAGCCCACGGGCUCAACCGUGGAGGGUCAUUGGAAACUGGGGGACUUGAGUACAGAAGAGGAAAGCGGAUUUCCAAGUGUAGCGGUGAAAUGCGUAGAGAUUUGGAGGAACACCAGUGGCGAAGGCGGCUUUCUGGUCUGUAACUGACGCUGAGGCGCGAAAGCGUGGGGAGCAAACAGGAUUAGAUACCCUGGUAGUCCACGCCGUAAACGAUGAGUGCUAAGUGUUAGGGGGUUUCCGCCCCUUAGUGCUGCAGCUAACGCAUUAAGCACUCCGCCUGGGGAGUACGGCCGCAAAGGCUG